GACACUACUAAAUCAAAUGCCAGCUUAUUACAAGACAUAAGGAAUCCAUUAAAGUGGCUCAAGCAUGAAUUUCAGCAUAGAAUUGUGGCUCUGCAGAUGGUGAAGAAUCCUAAGAAUGCAUCAGCAGGUAGCUAUAGCACAGAUGAGAGAAUGGGAGUGGACAGUCUAUGAACAGGAGCAAGAUUGAAGAGUCGCUAACUGCAGCAUUGAUAGGACAUGAGGAAGGCCAUAGGUUUUAAAUCAGAAGAUAACAGGCGAAAGCUAAUGACACUAGAAGUGAGAUUAACUGAGAUUAAUUUCUCCAACUUCCGUUUUGCUACCUUCACUUCAAUUGUUAACAAGCAAUUUCCAUCAGCUUUAGUGUGAAAUGGAUCAGCCAAUAUGAACGCAUAUUGUGAAUGACUCACCCUGUAUCAACUGUCUAUACAUGAGUAAAGCCACAUGUCCCCACACUGCUGAUAGUCUUUAUUAUGGGCUUUCUUUAAGGUAAGAGAUUAGGAGCUUAAACUAUGACCAGAAACUUUUACAUUAGUUUUUACACUUCUCCCUUCUUCAAAGUACAAUACAGAAAUGCAGCUUUGGGACUUUAGACUUGAAUAGCUGCAAAAUCUUAUAAAAGGGAAUAUUACCUCAAUCUGUCACAUGGAUUUGCUAUAUGCUGAAGAAGAAGGUUACAGACAUUAAAAAAAAUCUAUAUUAAAUUUGCAUGUUGGAACAUUUGCUCUCCCUUCUACCCAAGACUUCAUGACAGUUGGUUCCUUGGGCAUAUUCCUCAAAUUCAUUUCAUCAGAUUUUGUGGCAGUUUUCACUUCACAGUUUCCCUGGUAAUAUAGAAGAAUGGGACAGCCUAAAUUACUUUAAUUUUUCAAAUGUGAUGUUAAGAAAAUUG
This 889-nucleotide long non-coding RNA is filed under the name Gallus gallus (chicken). RNAcentral's name for it is "lncRNA (ENSGALG00010000990.1)". Lineage: Eukaryota; Metazoa; Chordata; Aves; Galliformes; Phasianidae. The record is from RNAcentral.